This 211-nucleotide ribosomal RNA is filed under the name uncultured bacterium. RNAcentral's name for it is "partial 16S ribosomal RNA". It matches the Rfam family "Bacterial small subunit ribosomal RNA", at positions 32 to 234 of the family's 1533-position model. The record is from RNAcentral.
AAUCAACGCUGGCGGCGUGCCUCAGACAUGCAAGUCGAACGAUUAAACUUUCCUUCGGGAAAGAUAUAAAGUGGCGCACGGGUGAGUAACACGUAAGUAAUCUACCUUCGGAUGGGGAGUAACAGUCGGAACGACUGCUAAUACCGCAUAAUGCAGCGGCACCUAAUGGUGACAGUUGUUAAAGUAUUUAUACGUCUGAAGAGGAGCUUGC